Long non-coding RNA from Saccostrea cuccullata (small rock oyster), 4148 nucleotides. RefSeq lists it as uncharacterized. The record is from RefSeq and is a predicted model, not a curated record. NCBI's taxonomy places the organism in Eukaryota, Metazoa, Mollusca, Bivalvia, Ostreida, Ostreidae. The transcript is spliced from 5 exons.
AAUAAUAUUCCGCGGCGCUGUAACGACAGGAAGGAAAACCGAUCUCAUAGAAAGUUUGGAAGCAUACGAAAGGAAUUUCAACUUUAGCGGUCCCGUCAUAGAACUGCCAGUAGAAAGGAAUGUAGAAUGGCCAACUACUGGGUAUAAACAAAUGACAUCGGACCAUUAUGACCAUUUGCCACACAUAACAGAAGCCCACAUCGAAGACAAUGCAAGCAGUCGACAGACAAAUGAUGGGCAAUACAAAGGCCAUUGUGAAAGGAAAAUUACUCCUGGAGUCAGAGAGAGUUGAAACACUGAGCAUUAACUGUCAAGAUGAAGACUUUUUCCUUACAGGAUUUGUCAGAGAUGCAAUGAAGAAAAAGGCUCCCCCAUAAAAGCUGAAGACAUGCCUUGGACUUAUAAUCCAGAUCUUAGUGACCCUCGGCCUCAGAAAUACAGAGGAAAAGCUGGAUACAAUGAUUAUGUGAGCAACAUUGUAACUAACUACUGUGCUGUAACAUCUGCAGAUUUGGCUUUCAAGUACAUAAAGCCCAAGGCAUUUAUCAACAUUGCAGUACUAGACCAUGAUUACUUGGACCUUCCAUUCACCGAAUAUUGGAUAGAUGCAGCUCAAAAGGUGUCAGAUAGGGACAUCGCUCGCAUUGAACACAGAACGAGGAAACAGAGCCUGUCGAAAGUUUGGCACCGUGAAAGAAAAUGGCGUUUGACAGCUUCCAGGUUUGGGGAUACUAGUAUAUGCAAAGCUACUGAUCGACGCAACAGAUUGAAGCUGUGUUCUAGCAUCUUAAAACCUCUUAAAUUAAAAACACUCGCUGUCCUACAUGGCCAACAAUAUGAAGCUGUGGCAAGACAAGUAUUCUAAGACAAAACAGGUUUUAAAGUCAAAACUUGUGGCCUUUUUGUAGAUUUAGAGAAUAAUUAUUUGGCUGCUUCGCCGGAUGGUAUUAUUGGAGAAAGUGCGAUUAUUGAAAUCAAAUGUCCAUAUAAGGGUAGAGAUCGUAAGAUUGCUGCAGAUAAGUUUUUCCCAUUCUUGCUAGAGGAUGAUGAUGGUGUAUUGCACUUGAGUCAUAAUUAUUACAUGCAGGUGCAAGGGCAGCUUAAUGUGUGUAAAAAAGAGAAGUGUUUCUUUGUUGUAUACACAUUUGUUGAUAUUUUUGUGGAAGAAAUUAAUGUUGAGAGAGAUUACUGGUGUGGUUGCAUGUUACCAAAGCUAGAGUUGUUUUAUAAGAAACACUACAGAAAAUUUCUUGCUGAAAAAUUGUAAAUUGGUGUCAUUAUCAAUCUGCAGUUGAGGGCCGUUGUUAAGGAAAACAUUUGUGAUGUACAGAAAAUUUCAUUUAUUAUUUAUAUAGAUACCGGUAAUGAUACAAUUUUCAUAUAUAGAAAAGCUUUUUUCAGCUCUAAAGAUCAGCAGUUCUGUUCAGCACAAUAUUUUUAAAUUAAUUGUUUAUCACAGAAUACAUUGUUUAAUUCUGUUUUAAUGGAUACUUUUUUAGCUCACCUGAGCCGAAGGCUCAAGUGAGCUUUUCUGAUCACAUUUUGUCUGUCGUCCGUCUGUAAACUUUUCACAUUUUCGACUUCUUCUCAAGAACCAAUGGACCAAAUUUAACCAAACUUGGUACAAAGCAUUCUUGGGUGAGGGGAAGUUUAAAUUGUAAAAAUGAGGGGGUCAAGUCCCCUUCCAAGGGGAGAUAAUCAAGAAAAUACAAAAAUAGGGUGGGGUCAUUAAAAAUCUUCUUCUCCAGAACCACUGGGCCAAGAAAGCUGAAACUUAUGUGGAAGCAUCCUUGGGUAGUGUAGAUAUUAAAUUGUAAAAAUCAUGACCCCCGGGGGUAGGGCGGGGCCACAAUAGGGAAUCCAAGUUUUACAUAGAAAUAUAUAGAAAAAAAUCUUUAAAAAUCUUCUUCUCAAGAACCACUGGGCCAGGAAAGCUGAAACUUAUGUGGAAGCAUCCUUGGGUAGUGUAAAUAUUAAAUUGUAAAAAUCAUGACCCCCGGGGGUAGGGCAGGGCCACAAUAGGGAAUCCAAGUUUUACAUAGAAAUAUAUAGAACAAAUCUUUAAAAAUCUUCUUCUCAAGAACCACUGAACCAGGAAAGCUGAAACCUUAUGUGGAAGCAUCCUUGGCUAGUGUAGAUGGUAAAUUGUUAAAAUCAUGACCCCUGUGGGAAGGGCGGGGCCACAAUAGGGAAUCCAAGUUUUACAUAGAAAUAUAUAGAACAAAUCUUUAAAAAUCUUCUUCUCAAGAACCACUUGGCCAGGAAAGCUGAAACUUAUGUGGAAGCAUCCUUGGGUAGUGUAGAUUCUAAAGUAUUAAAAUUAUGUAAGGGGAGGGGGUAUGGAGGGGGGCAUGAUAGGUAUAGCAAGAGGGGAAAUUUGCUAAAGAUCUGCUUCACCCAAGUUACUCAGGUGAGCGAUGUGGCCCAUGGGCCUCUUGUUGUUAUUGACAUGUUGUUUUAUAUCAUAACAAAAUGUAAUUUUUCAAUAUUCAUCAUGGAAUUAAGAUUCAUUUGAUUUGAGGGAAAUGAUUGUGAAGUUAUUACAUGUAAUAAUUAGAAAACAUUAUAAAGGUGUCUAGAUAAUAUGUACAGUAGUGUGACAUAAAUGAGUUCGCAAAAUGGCCGCCGUCAUCGUAAGUAUUUAAGAAGGGCGGUGAAUCAGUUGCUGAAAUAACGUUAUCGCUUCUCUUAAAGAAAAAAAUAUUUAAUUGAAAUUUAGGUACGACUUAACUAAUUCUGUCCAUUGUUGUAAAUUUGGAUUAUUCCCCUUUGAUAAACAAUUAUCGUCUGCUUGGAGAUAUGGCUCCCCAUGGUCGAGAAUUGACGAGUGACUUAAAAGAAAUAAUCAUUCAGAUGUCAAAUGAAGGUCUGUCAAGCUACAAAAUUGAAAAUCUAACCGGAAUUAACAGUCGUACCAUCCAAAAAUUUCUCAAACGUGUGAGGGAAAGGGGUAACAUAGAAAAUUUACCGAGAAGUGGGGUGAAACGAAAAACUUCACAGAGAGAUGACAGGGUUCUUUCCCGAAGCAUUAAAAUCAACCGUCGUCAGACUUUAAAAGAUAUAACAUCCAAAUUCAAUGCCAGGACAGGAUCUAAUGUGUCACUCAGAACAGUUCAUAGACGAUUAUCAGAGGAAGGUUAUAAGAGGUGCGUAGUUUCUAAGAAAACAACUGUUUCACGCGUGAAUAGAGAGAAGAGAACCCGAUUUUGUCGACAGAAAUUGCACUGGACAGUAAACAAUCAUUGGUCAUCCAUAAUAUUCAGUGAUGAGACUAAGACAGUUAUUGGAAAUAACGAUAAAGUUCAUGUCUGGAGGAAGAGUGAGGAAAGAAUACGUCCUGAAUGUGUCGGGUUGCGUGGUGAUUGGGAAACGAACUGUCGGGCUUCCCUUAUGUUUUGGGGUUGCAUAUGUUAUAAUGGAGUUGGUACCCUAAAAACUGUGGAUGGGAACAUGAAUAGCGAGAAAUAUAUUGCAAUUCUUGAUGAGUGUCUUUUGCCUGUGAUCGCUCGUCAUUUCCCCAAACCGACGCUGGACCUUCCAAGAAGACAACGCCCCCUGUCAUGUCUCCGCUUUCUCAAAUCGUUGGAAACAAGACAAUAACGUUAACACUCUACCAUGGCCCCCCACAAAGUCCUGAUCUAAAUAUAAUAGAAAAUGUCUGGAGAGUGCUCAAAAUCCGUGUACGAAGAAGGACACAUGAGGUCAAAAACGCGAAUGAUCUGGAGCGAAUCGUCCAUGAAAUAUGGAGUAGCCUCCCUUUGCACUAUAUUCAGAGUUUAUAUGCAAGCAUUCCUAGGAGAAUUGGAAGUGUUCUACGCUCAAGAGGCCAUAUAACAAAGUACUAACACAAAAAGGUAAGUGGUAAUAUUAGUUUAUUGAUAGAAAUUAGAUUUUACAUACCGCAAGCGCACCGCACGCAUGAAUGACGGCGGCCAUUUUGCGAACUCAUUUACGUCACACUACUGUAGAUAUAUUCAUUUGCUGUUUUAAGGCAGAAACUGUAUCAGAAGUGAAAGUUAAAGAAGUAGUACAUGUACCUGGUAUGUGAAGAUUUAAGCUUGAAUAAUGGAAUUGUAAGUAAACUGAAAAGAAUCAUUUGUUUCAUUAAUACAGCAUGUAAUAAAUGAUGUAUCCACCAUUAUUUGGAA